CCUACGGGGUGCAGCAGUGGGGAAUACUGGACAAUGGGCGAAAGCCUGAUCCAGCCAUGCCGCGUGUGUGAAGAAGGCCUUCGGGUUGUAAAGCACUUUCAGUGGGGAAGAAAGCCUUGGGGCUAAUACCCUCGAGGAAGGACAUCACCCACAGAAGAAGCACCGGCUAACUCCGUGCCAGCAGCCGCGGUAAUACGGAGGGUGCGAGCGUUAAUCGGAAUUACUGGGCGUAAAGCGCGCGUAGGCGGUCUGAUAAGCCGGUUGUGAAAGCCCCGGGCUCAACCUGGGAACGGCAUCCGGAACUGUCAGGCUAGAGUGCAGGAGAGGAAGGUAGAAUUCCCGGUGUAGCGGUGAAAUGCGUAGAGAUCGGGAGGAAUACCAGUGGCGAAGGCGGCCUUCUGGACUGACACUGACGCUGAGGUGCGAAAGCGUGGGUAGCAAACAGGAUUAGAUACCCUAGUAGUC
RNAcentral lists this ribosomal RNA (465 nucleotides) under Vreelandella stevensii. RNAcentral's name for it is "partial 16S ribosomal RNA". It matches the Rfam family "Bacterial small subunit ribosomal RNA", at positions 338 to 795 of the family's 1533-position model. Lineage: Bacteria; Pseudomonadati; Pseudomonadota; Gammaproteobacteria; Oceanospirillales; Halomonadaceae. The record is from RNAcentral.